This 337-nucleotide ribosomal RNA is filed under the name Micropholcus baoruco. RNAcentral describes it as "bacterial SSU rRNA". It matches the Rfam family "Eukaryotic small subunit ribosomal RNA", at positions 1473 to 1804 of the family's 1831-position model. Lineage: Eukaryota; Metazoa; Arthropoda; Arachnida; Araneae; Pholcidae. The record is from RNAcentral.
UUAGAUGUCCGGGGCCGCACGCGCGCUACACUGAAGGAGACAGCGUGUGUUCUCCUGGUCCGGCGGGACCGGGUAACCAGCUGAACCUCCUUCGUGAUAGGGAUUGGGGAUUGUAACUGUUCCCCACGAACGAGGAAUGCCUAGUAGUCGCGGAUCAUCAGUCCGCGACGAUUUGGUCCCUGCCCUUUGUGCACACCGCCCGUCGCUACUAGCGAUUGAAUGGAUUAGUGAGGUCUUCGGACCGGCGUUCUGUCCCGGACCUCGGUCCGGGGGGUCCUGCCGGAAAGAUGACCGAACUUGUCCGUUUAGAGGUAGUAAAAGUCGUAACAAGGUUACC